GAUGAACGCUAGCUACAGGCUUAACACAUGCAAGUCGAGGGGCAGCAUGGUCUUAGCUUGCUAAGGCCGAUGGCGACCGGCGCACGGGUGAGUAACACGUAUCCAACCUGCCGUCUACUCUUGGACAGCCUUCUGAAAGGAAGAUUAAUACAAGAUGGCAUCAUGAGUCCGCAUGUUCACAUGAUUAAAGGUAUUCCGGUAGACGAUGGGGAUGCGUUCCAUUAGAUAGUAGGCGGGGUAACGGCCCACCUAGUCUUCGAUGGAUAGGGGUUCUGAGAGGAAGGUCCCCCACAUUGGAACUGAGACACGGUCCAAACCCCUACGGGAGGCAGCAGUGAGGAAUAUUGGUCAAUGGGCGAGAGCCUGAACCAGCCAAGUAGCGUGAAGGAUGACUGCCCUAUGGGUUGUAAACUUCUUUUAUAAAGGAAUAAAGUCGGGUAUGGAUACCCGUUUGCAUGUACUUUAUGAAUAAGGAUCGGCUAACUCCGUGCCAGCAGCCGCGGUAAUACGGAGGAUCCGAGCGUUAUCCGGAUUUAUUGGGUUUAAAGGGAGCGUAGAUGGAUGUUUAAGUCAGUUGUGAAAGUUUGCGGCUCAACCGUAAAAUUGCAGUUGAUACUGGAUAUCUUGAGUGCAGUUGAGGCAGGCGGAAUUCGUGGUGUAGCGGUGAAAUGCUUAGAUAUCACGAAGAACUCCGAUUGCGAAGGCAGCCUGCUAAGCUGCAACUGACAUUGAGGCUCGAAAGUGUGGGUAUCAAACAGGAUUAGAUACCCUGGUAGUCCACACGGUAAACGAUGAAUACUCGCUGUUUGCGAUAUACUGCAAGCGGCCAAGCGAAAGCGUUAAGUAUUCCACCUGGGGAGUACGCCGGCAACGGUGAAACUCAAAGGAAUUGACGGGGGCCCGCACAAGCGGAGGAACAUGUGGUUUAAUUCGAUGAUACGCGAGGAACCUUACCCGGGCUUAAAUUGCAGAUGAAUUACGGUGAAAGCCGUAAGCCGCAAGGCAUCUGUGAAGGUGCUGCAUGGUUGUCGUCAGCUCGUGCCGUGAGGUGUCGGCUUAAGUGCCAUAACGAGCGCAACCCUUGUUGUCAGUUACUAACAGGUUCCGCUGAGGACUCUGACAAGACUGCCAUCGUAAGAUGUGAGGAAGGUGGGGAUGACGUCAAAUCAGCACGGCCCUUACGUCCGGGGCUACACACGUGUUACAAUGGGGGGUACAGAGGGCCGCUACCACGCGAGUGGAUGCCAAUCCCCAAAACCUCUCUCAGUUCGGACUGGAGUCUGCAACCCGACUCCACGAAGCUGGAUUCGCUAGUAAUCGCGCAUCAGCCACGGCGCGGUGAAUACGUUCCCGGGCCU
RNAcentral lists this ribosomal RNA (1358 nucleotides) under uncultured bacterium. RNAcentral describes it as "bacterial SSU rRNA". It matches the Rfam family "Bacterial small subunit ribosomal RNA", at positions 28 to 1381 of the family's 1533-position model. The record is from RNAcentral.